GAUCGGCGAUUGGGACGAAGUCGUAACAAGGUAGCCGUACCGGAAGGUGCGGCUGGAUCACCUCCUUUCUAAGGAGCA
RNAcentral lists this ribosomal RNA (78 nucleotides) under Corynebacterium stationis. Its description in RNAcentral is "partial 16S ribosomal RNA". The stretch from base 1 to 68 matches the Rfam family "Bacterial small subunit ribosomal RNA", at positions 1466 to 1533 of the family's 1533-position model. The record is from RNAcentral. Lineage: Bacteria; Bacillati; Actinomycetota; Actinomycetes; Mycobacteriales; Corynebacteriaceae.